GUAUGCACGUAAAGGUUGCACCUUUACGUGACUUUUGAGUGUUUAAGGGUUAGAUCCAUGAUUUGGUUAAGCAGAUCUGACCUCAGGAGGUUAUUUGAGCAAGUCCAUGGAGGAAACUCGCCGAGUGCAUAUGUAGACUCGACGAGUUGGACCGGGUUGCCCCGGGGUCUGACUCCAGUGGUGACUCGGUGAGUUGAGGGGUGACUCAGUGAGUCGAGUGAAUCUUAGAAAGGGAAGAGUAUGUGGGAAUGAUGGGACUCGCCGAGUCGUCGUAUGCACUCGGCGAGUCUGGUCGAAAUGGACAGGUGACUUUUGGUUAACUUUUAGGGUUUGUCAACAAAUGGGCCUUCGGGUCUGAGGAGGGGUAGAAUGGUCUUUUACCCUUCUAGGGAUUUGCAUCAGAGAAUAUCCAAUUUGUGAAGAGACAUUUAUUUAGUGUAAUUUAUUAUUGUGUCUAGGAGGAGGCUAGGGCAGUAUUCUGAUAUCGAGAUUUUACCGAGUUACCCGAGGUGAGUCUUCUCACUAUACUUUACCUAGAGUGGUAAUUAGAGUUAUGUGACAGAGUAUGUUGUAUGCUUUUGCAUGAUAUGAUUUCUUUGUGAUUUAUGAUAUGUAUGUUACAGAGUUUACAGAGUUAGGACCAGAAGGUCCACAGAGUUAGGGCCAUAGGGCCUACAGAGAUAGGGGACUACAGGGUCCCACUGAGACACAUUGACCAGAGGGUCAAACAGAGUUAUAGCCUCGAGUGGCUAAUAUGUGGUGUGUAUGGUAUUUUGGGGAACUCACUAAGCAUUUAUGCUUAUAGUGUUGUGUUAUGUGUUUCAGAUACCAGUGAGGAUUACGGGAAGGCGCCAGCUUGAUCAGUACACACAGGACGAGCCUUUUUAUAUUAUGAUAUUGGGAUGUGAUGUUAUGAUUUAACUAUGUGAUACAGUGAUGUUUUAUAACAAUGAUGAAUGAAAAGGUGUUUUAAAAAAUGUGAAAAUUUAUUUGAAAAUUUGGGUGUUACAAGUUGGUAUCAAAGCCUUGGUUUGAGGGAUUCGGGUGCACCUUCGGGCGUAUCUGAACUCAAACUGAGGAUUUGAGGGGUUUUCAAAAUAAAAGUUACGAAAAUUUUCUCAAGAUUAAAAAGUUUUUGAAAGAGCAUAGCAGAGCAGUAUGUACGAUCAGCCAGCGCCGAAAUGGUGAUUUCCCAAAAUACCCGUACUUUAUGAUUUAUGAGAUAUGUUAUGAUAUGAUAUGCCUACUAGAGUAGGCUAGGUAUUCUUAUUAGGACUAGAGUGGCCUAAUUUAUGAUGCCUUAGCCUAUGGAUUUUGCUGCUAGGAGAUGCUUGAGAGCGAAUAGAUAGCAGCGAGGAGCUUAUGAGAGAUUUACUUCAGAGUAGACUAUGUAUAGAGAGAGAGAGUAGAGUACUAGGGAUUUGGUAUCCUAGGAGGAGGACUUAAGGUGAAUAUUGAUGCGGUGUGGGCGGUACUAUUGGGCCCGUACUACCAAAGGCACCGAAUCAGUGUGCAGCCCAAGUAAGAAUCCUUAGGGUACCAGGGAUCAAGUAGGAUUAGGAUAUCGAGUGUAUGUAUACUCGAGCGAGUCUCUGAUAUCUUGUGUUGUAUUUCAGAGAGACAUCAUGGUGGGGACACGCCACGGGCCAGGGACUAGUGAUGGGGGUGUGAGCGAUGAGGAGCUCCGCCAGAUGAUUCAUGAUGAGGUGGCUGUUGCCAUCCGCGCUGAGAUUCUAGAGAUGUUCGGGUCUAUCAAGACCACCCGGAUCGAGACUUUUGAUGAGCGUUAUGCUACUCUUACUGAUGUUGUUGUUGUUGCAGCCACUGCGGCCGUUGCUGUUGCCAAGCCAAAGGGGGGUGACGCGUUGCUGUACCGGAAGUUCAGCAACACGAAGCCACCAGAGUUUGAUGGGACUCAAGAUCCGAUAGCUGCGAUGAGGUGGAUCUAUGACAUUAAGGGGUGCUUCUACACAUGUUCAUGUCCGGAACAUCUGAGGGUUCGGUUUGCACUGAACCAGCUUCGCUUGGGGGCGAAGGAUUGGUGGAAGUUUGUGACAGUGCACUAUUCUUCUGCAGAGCUUGAUGCGGUGACCUGGGAGAGGUUCACCGCUAUAUUUCGUGAUGAGUACUUUCCCCCGUUAGAAAGGGAGCGUUUGGCCUAGGACUUCUUGACCCUCAAGCAGGGUACAGAGUCUGUUACUGUGAUCAUCAGGAUGUUUCAUGAGAGGGCGAUGUUCUGCCCUGAGCACGCGUCUUCUGAGUAGGCACGUAUGAGCCGGUAUUUGAGCAUUUUGAGGAGAGACAUCCGCGAGUGCGUGGAGAACUCGACGUACCGGACAUUUGCCGAGCUUCAGGAAAAUGCUCGAAAGAGGGAGAUUGAGCUAGAGACUCAGGCCAGGGAGGAGGCGGAGUCUCAAGGGAGGGAUCGGCGACCGGCACAGUCCCAACUGGCUGCCAAGCGGGCUAAGCCCGCCGAUUUGAGAUCUGGGAACCAAAAGGGCCGCACUUGUGGCAAGUGCUGAAAGAUUCGUGAGGGGGUGUUUAGAGAAGGGUCUUGCUACAAGUGUAGCAAGGAGGGGCAUAUGGCCAAGGAUUGCCCCAAGGGGUUUGCAGUUUGUUUUCACUGCAACAAGACUGUACACCGGAAGGCCGAGUGUCCGCAAUUAUGAGGGUCAGUUCAAGGAGCUUCUCAGGGUUCUAUCCUUGCUGCUGUUCUAGCUUCAGAGAGUCAGCCGAUGAAGGUUAAGGCGCCGAAGGCUCGCGGGAGAUCCUUCCAGUUGACAGUAGAGGAGGUCCACGCAGCACCCGAUGUUGUGGCUGGUAUGUAUUCUUUCAUAUGUUUAUUCUAAGUUUGUGGUGUUAUGCUUAUAUUGUGAUAUGCGUAGGUACAUUUCUUGUAUGUCCUGUGCAUGCUUUGGUGUUAUUUGACUCGGGUGCGAUUCGGUAUUUUGUAUCGGUAGCCUUUAGUCAACACAUCAGUAUUCGUCGUGAGGCAUUGAGUCGACCUUUUGCGAGUUUCCAUAGCUGACGAGAGAGCAGUUUAUGCCACUGAUGUAAUUCGAGGAUGUGUGCUCGAGAUAUUCGGCGUUGAGUUUUCUAUUGAUUUAGUCCCAAUUGCUAUGGGAGAUGUCUAUGUCAUUGUGGGCAUGGACUGGUUGAGCAGAUUUGGACCGGUUAUCGACUGCGAGCGACAGCUGGUGACCAUACGAGGCCCUAGUAGGGGAGUUCUUACAGUUUAUGGUGAGGGUACCCGUUCUGGGUCGGCAUUUUGUUCAGCCGUGAGAGCAAGGCAGAGUUUACAGCAAGGCUGUAGUGGGUUUGUGGCUUAUGUGGUAGAUACAAGGGUAGGUGCAAAAAGACCCAGAUCGGUUGAUGAGGUCCCGGUAGUAUGUGAGUUCCCGGAUGUUUUCCCCAAGGAGUUGUCGGGUGUGCCUCCCGAGAGGCAGGUGGAGUUCCGUAUCGAUUUGAUUCUGGGGGCAGCGCCUAUUGCCAAGGCGCCCUAUCGCCUUGCACCUCCAGAGAUGCAGGAGUUAUCCUCGCAGCUUCAGGAGCUGCUGGGGAAGGGGUUUAUCCGGCUGAGUAGCUCGCCGUGGGGAGCGUCGAUCCUUUUUUUCAAGAAAAAUGAUGGUUCACACCGGAUGUGCAUUGAUUACCGGGAGUUGAACAAGCUGACGGACAAGAACCAUUACCCCUUACCGAGGAUCGACAAUUUGUUCGAUCAGUUGCAGGGAGCAUCUUGGUUUUCCAAGAUUGAUUUGAGGUCUGGAUAUCAUCAGAUGAGGGUGCGUGUUGAGGAUAUUUAGAAGACAUCGUUCAGGACUCGUUACGGGUAUUACGAGUUCGUGGUGAUGCCUUUCGGGCUCACCAAUGCACUGGUGGCGUUCAUGGACCUCAUGAACAGGGUGUACAGGCCGAUGUUGGAUCAUUCGGUGAUCAUGUUCAUUGAUGAUAUAUUGGUGUAUUCGAGGUCCAGAGAGCAGCAUGAGGAGCAUUUGAGGGAGAUCCUCGAAGUUCUGAGAUCGGAGAGGCUUUACGCCAAAUUCUCCAAGUGUGAUUUCUAGUUACGGGAGGUCCAGUUUCUUAGGAAGCUCGUCAACCAGAAUGGGAUAUUGGUCGAUCCGGCCAAGAUUGAGGCGGUUAUGAGUUAGGAGGUGACGAGAUCCCCUUUGGAGAUCAGGAGUUUCCUGGGGUUGGCCAGAUAUUAUCGGAGAUUCAUUCAGGAUUUCUCUAGGAUUGCGGUUCCUCUCACCAGGCUGACCCGGAAGGGCGUGGGUUUCAGUUGGGGCCCGGAGCAGUAGGCCUCAUUCGAGACACUUCGCCAGAGAUUGUGUGAAGCCCCAGUGUUGGCCCUUCUAAAGGGAAUGGAGGACUUUGUGGUAUAUUGUGACGCGUCGAUAUCGGGACUGGGUGUGGUGCUAAUGCAGAGAGGGCAUGUGAUAGCAUACGCAUCGAGGCAGCUAAAACCUCAUGAGAGGAGGUAUCCUAUGCAUGAUCUGGAGUUAGGGGUUGUGGUGUUCGCCCUCAAGAUCUGGCGUCACUAUUUGUAUAGGGUUCGGUGUACCAUAUACACGGACCACAAGAGCUUGAAGUAUUUGAUGGAUUAGACCAACCUGAACAUGCGUCAGAGGAGAUGGUUGGACGUGGUAAAGGAUUAUGAGUGUGAGAUCCUAUACCACCCGGGAAAAGCUAACAUGGUAGCCGAUGCCUUAAGUCGCAGGGUAGAGAGUGCCCCUUUGCGAGAUGUUUGUAUGAGGCUGACAGUGAUGACUCCGUUUUUGGAUGCCAUUCGAGAGGCCCAGGUGGAGGCCAUGAGAUCGGAGAACCGCAAGCGAGAGCGGGUGAUUGGGCAGAUGUCAAAGUUCAUUGUCGAUAGUCGGGGGCUUAUGACCUUCCAGGGACGUAUUUGGGUGCCAUUUGAGGGUGGGACACAUGCUAUUUUGACAGAGGAGGCGCACAGGUCGAGGUUUUCGAUCCAUCCCGGGGCCACUAAGAUGUAUUUGGACCUGAAAAGAGAUUAUUGGUGGCCCUGUAUGAAGAGGGAUGUGGCUUGGUUUGUAGAGAGGUGCUUGACCUGUCGCACGGUUUAGACUGAGCACAAGUGUCUGCAUGGCAAGUUGCAGCCGCUUAAGGUUCCCCAGUGGAAGUGGGAAUAGAUUUCCAUGGAUUUUAUCACCAAAUUGCCAAGGACUGCGAGAGGCGUCGAUGCAAUUUGGGUGAUCGUUGACCGGAUGACGAAGAGCGCUCAUUUUCAUGCUAUCAGUGAGAGAGGUGGUGUCUCGGCAUGGGGUGCCGAUCUCGAUUGUGUCCGAUCGAGAUGUGCGUUCCACUUCCAGGUUUUGGAAGAGGUUUCAUGAGGAGUUGGGUACAAGAUUGCAUUUCAGCACUGCUUACCACCCUCAGACCGACGGUCAGAGUGAGCGGACUAUUCAAACGCUCGAGGACAUUUGUUGGGGAGAGGUAGGUCAACGAGUGAUGGGUAGUACGGAGAUAGUGCUCCAGACUACUGAACAGAUUCAGCAAGUCAGACAGAGGUUUCUGCUGGCUCAGAGUCGUCAGAAGAGUUACGCGGAUAAGCGUCGCCCAAAGCCUGAGUUCCAAGUUGGUGAUUUUGUUCUCCUUAAGGUAUCACCUUAGAAAGGUGUGAUUCAGUUCAGGAAGAGAGGCAAGUUGGGGCAUCGGUAUCUUGGUCCAUUCAAUGUAAUCACGAGGGUAGGCAGAGUAGCGUAUCGUUUGGAGUUACAUGUGGAGUUGGGUCAGAUUCAUGAUACCUUCCACGUGUCUUAGUUGAGGAAGUGUAUUGCCGACAAAUUGGCAGUAGUACCAUUGGAGGAUAUUUAGGUGGAUGCGAGCCUGAAUUAUGUUGAAAGGCCAAUAGCGAUAAGGGAUCUAUGGAUCAAGGUUUUGAGAAACAAGGAGGUGUCCUUGGUGCAGGUUCAGUGGCAGCAUCAGAAAGGGUCCGAGCUGACAUGGGAACCGGAUAUCAAGAUGCGUCAGCAGUACCCAGAGUUAUUUGAAGAGCGAGACUUCGAGGGCGAAGUCUGAUUCUAGCAGGGCAGAAUCGUAACAACCGGAUUUUGGGUAUAUAAUUUUAUUUUUUGGAAUUAUUAUUUGAGGGAACUCGACGAGUUGGGGCCUCAACUCGUCGAGUAGAGUCUUAUCUGUUGGCGGGUUUUUGCGACCGGACUCGACGAGUCGGGUAUCUGACUCGCCGAGUCGGUGCUGAUUAGGAAAACUCUAAUCCCCAGGUUUGGGAGCCUAUUUAAAGACCAUUAUGGCCUUCAUUUGCGGCAACCUUGUUCUAGAGAAACCCUAGAGAGCAGAGAUAGUGAGUUUGAGGGCAAGAGGGGGCUAUUUCUUCAUCUUUUGUGUGGAUUUGCUUGAAGGAAGGAAGGAGCACAAAUCUAGAGUGUGAAGGGGACUGGAUCUGAGCUAAUCAUCUAGUGAUAUCAUCUUUGGAGGUAUAAUCCUUUCCAUUUCGUGUUAUAUUGUUGGAUUUCUUGAUUUUAGGGUUUUUACCCUCAUUUUUAUGGAAGAUCUAGUGAGUAUGAGGACCCCCUUUGGAAUUGACAUCGGAUCUGGACCAUGAGAGGUCCCUAGAGUUAUUAUUUCCAGCUUUUUGCAAGCAAAUAAGGAAUUGGAGACUAGGUUACCAUUUCUAGUGUUAUUUCUCCAUUUGAGGCUUGAUACGGGUUGUAUGCACGUAAAGGUUGCACCUUUACGUGACUUUUGAGUGUUUAAGGGUUAGAUCCAUGAUUUGGUUAAGCAGAUCUGACCUCAGGAGGUUAUUUGAGCAAGUCCAUGGAGGAAACUCGCCGAGUGCAUAUGUAGACUCGAUGAGUCGGACCGGGUUGCCCCGAGGUCUGACUCCAGUGGUGACUCAACAAGUUGAGGAGUGACUCAGUGAGUCUAGUGAGGCUUAUAAAGGGAAGAGUCUGUGGGAACGAUGGAACUCGCCGAGUCGUCGUAUGCACUCGGCGAGUCUGGUCGAAAUAGAUAGUUGACUUUUGGUUGACUUUUAGGGUUUGUCAAC
RNAcentral lists this long non-coding RNA (7030 nucleotides) under Lactuca sativa (garden lettuce). RNAcentral describes it as "long non-coding RNA (LSAT_LNC010336)". The record is from RNAcentral. Lineage: Eukaryota; Viridiplantae; Streptophyta; Magnoliopsida; Asterales; Asteraceae.